Molecule: long non-coding RNA, 950 nt
Organism: Nannospalax galili (Upper Galilee mountains blind mole rat)
Lineage: Eukaryota; Metazoa; Chordata; Mammalia; Rodentia; Spalacidae
Exons: 4
Source: RefSeq, a predicted model, not a curated record
GCCGGGCCUCCCUCUCUCCCACCCGCCGCCCGGCUCGGCGUUCCCUCGGCUGGAGUUCUCCAUCCCCAGGAUCCCGGGCUCGCGGGGGCGCGAAGAGGACCCAGGAAAGCCGUUUAGGGGCAUCCUCAUACUCAUGCUGUGGACCCCACUCAUCAAGGAGACAUGCUACUCCAUACCACAUGGGCAGCCACCCUGGACCUCAUCUUUCCUCGGAAGAACCCUAGUUGUACAUCUUUUCAGUCAAGAGCAGAGAUAAUGCAGGCGCGAUGGCGUGAAGGAUGGCUCUCCUGUGAAGAACACAGACAGCAAACACCUGGAGGCAAAGCAAUCCAAAAGAGCUGCCUAGAGAAGCAAAUAGCAGUGCUACGGUGGGGAAAAUUUGAACACCAGCCACAGGACACCAAUAAACAUAACACACUUGACCUUACUGAUGAAGAGCACCCAUUAGGAAUUAUUAGAGUCAAUCCCGGAACCCUGGUCACUGACUUUGGUAAUGCCCAGCACAGGACUGAUGGCCGUCUGUUUCCCAGAAUUUCUCAUCGGUGAACUCCACUCACAGAACCGUAGCGCUGAGCCAAGCGAAGCUCCAUCACCUGGGCCAAGUUCCCAUUGAAAUGUGUGUGUGUUUGGGGUGCCUAAUGAUUAUUUUCAGUCUCGGUUCCUGAUUAUCUGGUUUGGGUUUUGCACGAUUAAUUAGGAGCCUAAAUUAAUGCGAAGGGAAACACGUGUCCAGCUGGGCCCCCCAGAUGUUCCUGGAGAGAAACUCUCCAAUUUGCUCAGCAGCGUGGCAGUGUAAACAUGGCUUGGGGGGAUGCUGGGAACUGCUGCUGUCCUCAGUACUCCUGGCGGGGAGGACCGUGGGGCUGACUGGGCAACUGGUACCCAGGCCUGGGAUGGUGUCCCGUAUUGCACCAUCACCCAGUGAUCCACUUUCCCUUCUUACUGUGGCC